RNAcentral lists this ribosomal RNA (377 nucleotides) under uncultured bacterium. Its description in RNAcentral is "bacterial SSU rRNA". It matches the Rfam family "Bacterial small subunit ribosomal RNA", at positions 790 to 1167 of the family's 1533-position model. The record is from RNAcentral.
GUAGUCCACGCCCUAAACGAUGUCGACUAGUCGUUCGGAGCAGCAAUGCACUGAGUGACGCAGCUAACGCGUGAAGUCGACCGCCUGGGGAGUACGGCCGCAAGGUUAAAACUCAAAGGAAUUGACGGGGACCCGCACAAGCGGUGGAUGAUGUGGAUUAAUUCGAUGCAACGCGAAAAACCUUACCUACCCUUGACAUGUCUGGAACCUUGGUGAGAGCCGAGGGUGCCUUCGGGAGCCAGAACACAGGUGCUGCAUGGCUGUCGUCAGCUCGUGUCGUGAGAUGUUGGGUUAAGUCCCGCAACGAGCGCAACCCUUGUCACUAGUUGCCAUCAUUUGGUUGGGCACUCUAGUGAGACUGCCGGUGACAAACCGGA